Molecule: ribosomal RNA, 651 nt
Filed under: uncultured Amoebozoa
Lineage: Eukaryota
Description: SSU rRNA
Rfam family: Eukaryotic small subunit ribosomal RNA
Source: RNAcentral
UGGUAGUGUAUUGGACAACCAUGGUUAUAACGGGUAACGGGGAAUAAGGGUUCGAUUCCGGAGAGGGAGCCUGAGAGAUGGCUACCACUUCCAAGGAAGGCAGCAGGCGCGCAAAUUACCCAAUCUCAGUACGAGGAGGUAGUGACGACAAAUAACGAUAUGGAUCCUUCGGGGUCCAUAAUCGGAAUGAGAACAAAGUAAAUAUCUUAACGAGGAACAACUGGAGGACAAGUCUGGUGCCAGCACCCGCGGUAAUUCCAGCUCCAGGAGCAUAUAUUAAAGUUGUUGCAGUCAAAACGCUCGUAGUCGGAAUCUGAGGAUUUUCUAGACGAGGGGCUUGUCGGAAGACGAGCUAUCCAGUCUUAGAUGCCUCGGACGUUUGGUGGAUUUCUCUACUCUUAAUUGAGUGCGGGAUUGAACCCAGACCUUCUACCUUGAAAAAAUUGGAGUGUUCAAAGCAGAUUCUUCUUUCGUCUUAUACAUAUUAGCAUGGGACAGUGAAAGAAGACCGUGUGGAGAGCUGAUAGUGUCUCUCUGCACGGUAAUGAUCGAUAGGGGCUAAGGGGGCGGUUGGUAUUCAGCGGCUAGAGGUGAAAUUCUUAGAUUCGUUGAAGACUUCCCGAAGCGAAAGCGUUCCGCUACUGUACCUCC